UAAACAUUGAUAAUUAAUGUUUUUUAUAAAUUUAAUUCAAUAUAAUGAAUUAAUUUAUUAACUUGCUUUUUUUAAUCCUUUCUAUUAUUAAUUCUGCUUAUGAUCGUUUAAUCCAUUUCACAUAUUGCUAAGAUAGCUAAGAUAGCGACAUCUGCAUCGUAUCUCGUUCAAAAUUAUAUAUUUCAUGGAAAUUCGUGUUAUUUUGUUUAUAAAGAAUGUUCGAUCGAUUUAAAAUUGCUUUUCGUGCAAAUACAUUUGUCAGUAUCCCUAUUUCUUUUUUAUUGGCUGUUGCCAAAGCCACCUAUUUUUAAAAGACAAUCAUAAUGAGAACUUGUGUAAAACGAUUACUUCAUUAUUGUUGACUUAAUCAUGUUUCAUUUGAUUUUGACGAGGAAAUUUAAACCAAAUGUGCUGACAAAUGUGUGGAAAUGAAAUUGUCUAGUAAUAGCUAAACUAUUUUGUAGAGAUAAAAAACCAGAAAACAUUAUUUCUUAGUCUGAAAUAUUUAAUGAAACGUCAGUACAAGAAGAAGCGGCAUCGCAAGAAAUUGGAGAAGAUGAAUAAAUCCUAAUCGCAAAUCUUGGCCAAAAUGUAAUUCGCUUGAAGCUGUAAAAAAUGAGGUAUAUUGAAUUAAUACACACACAAACGCGCGCGCACACGCACAUACUAUAAAUUAUAAAAUUAAUACGUAUAAUUAAAAUUUUUUAUAUUUACUGUAUUUCACCUGGGUUGAUGAAAAAAUACAACAAUUCUGACGACGUAUCUUAUAUUACUAAUCAAUUAGCAAUAAAACAAAUUUGGAGAA
Vespula pensylvanica (western yellowjacket) is the source of this 805-nucleotide long non-coding RNA. RefSeq lists it as uncharacterized. The record is from RefSeq and is a predicted model, not a curated record. The transcript is spliced from 3 exons. NCBI's taxonomy places the organism in Eukaryota, Metazoa, Arthropoda, Insecta, Hymenoptera, Vespidae.